Xyrichtys novacula (pearly razorfish) is the source of this 1227-nucleotide non-coding RNA. Lineage: Eukaryota; Metazoa; Chordata; Actinopteri; Labriformes; Labridae. The record is from the annotation of a GenBank genome assembly.
CUUGUUUCUAUUAUUAUUCAUAUUGGACUUCCUUUGCGUGUCUUGUUAAAUGUUUGUUAAACUAUCCCUUUAAUGUUUUCCCAGGUAGAAAUGAAUCUCCUCCAGGAAAUGUUUGUAUUUGUGCUGCAUGGUUGUAUUUUUCCACAGGGUUCAUGUUGGUCUUUGUCUGCAGGGGGGGAGGAUUCUGGAUCAUAUCCAGGUCAGUGCAGGUAGGUGUAAGCUAGUCAAACCCAUACGCCUCUAUCCUAAUCCAUCUGUUAGUAUCUACCUUCAGUCAAAACUUUCUUAAUGCUCUUAUCGUCCUUUACCACAAACACACAGUUCAUGUCGUCCUCCAUUGAAGCCAUAACUUCAGGUAUAUUCAGGUGAUAACAGUAUUGAGUAAAUACUGUUUGUCUUUUCCCAGCAUUCCUCAGAUGCUCCGCCUCAGGACUUGGAGAUUGUCACACACACACACACACACACACACACACACACACACACACACACACACACACACACACACACACACACACACACACACACACUGCUGAGGGCGGAUGUGUUUGAAGUGCUGUGGGUCGGGGAGGGGAUGUUUGGGGUUGACAGCGGACUAAAGGGGGGUGUGUGUGAGGCAGGUACCUACAUGUCCCCUUCUCUUUGUCUCCUUCAAUAAGACACUUCAAACCACACGCACUCCUGGUGGGCCCUCUCCCUCUUCACCUCUCCCUCUCUUUUGUUCCGCUCACCAGUUCUGCUUUUGGUCGCCUAAGGAAAAGAUCAGAGCCUGAGGGUCCUGAUGUCUGUGGAUGAUUCUGUCCGAUCGUCCCUCGUCUCUCCUCUGAUCGCCUAAAAUUUCAUCAGGAAAUGUCUUCAUUAACCUAGAAACUAUUACUAACACUGAACACUCCCUCUCCUCCUACAUGUAUUGACCCUCACCAAGACCGUUUUUGGUUUUAAAUCACACAGAUAAUCUCCUAAAGUGACGCACAUGUGUGAAAGCAUGUGACUGAAAAAAUUCAAGGGUUCUAUUAGUGGGUCUAUAAUGUAAUGUACUUUAAACGUCUUAUGCCUUGACCAGACCUUUCAUUCACUUAAUUCCUCCAUUUACUUUCCUCUCUUUCUUUCACCUCCUCUCCCUUCAUGGACCUCGCCUACUUUGAAGUCGGCUGGCGUCUAAAAAGGACAAAGAGACACAGAGAGACGAGCCUGGCUGCCUCUGAAGACGGACAAAAGGAUGAGCAGGAG